RNAcentral lists this ribosomal RNA (468 nucleotides) under uncultured bacterium. Its description in RNAcentral is "partial 16S ribosomal RNA". It matches the Rfam family "Bacterial small subunit ribosomal RNA", at positions 28 to 507 of the family's 1533-position model. The record is from RNAcentral.
GACGAACGCUGGCGGCGUGCUUAACACAUGCAAGUCGAACGGAAAGGCCCUGCUUUUGUGGGGUGCUCGAGUGGCGAACGGGUGAGUAACACGUGAGUAACCUGCCCUUGACUUUGGGAUAACUUCAGGAAACUGGGGCUAAUACCGGAUAGGAGCUCCUGCUGCAUGGUGGGGGUUGGAAAGUUUCGGCGGUUGGGGAUGGACUCGCGGCUUAUCAGCUUGUUGGUGGGGUAGUGGCUUACCAAGGCUUUGACGGGUAGCCGGCCUGAGAGGGUGACCAGCCACAAUGGGACUGAGAUACGGCCCAGACUCCUACGGGAGGCAGCAGUGGGGAAUAUUGCACAAUGGGCGGAAGCCUGAUGCAGCAACGCCGCGUGCGGGAUGACGGCCUUCGGGUUGUAAACCGCUUUCGCCUGUGACGAAGCGUGAGUGACGGUAAUGGGUAAAGAAGCACCGGCUAACUACGUG